AGGCGGCGCAGCCGCAGUUAGGCCGGCAAGUGCACGAGGCCUUGCCCGCCGCGGUGGCCCCGCCGCACGCGCACGGGUUGCAGUUGCAGUGGUCGCCGCACGUGCACAGGGUAUGCCGCACUUCCCCACCGCCGCCGGUCGAGCACCUGCACGCCGUUCCUCCACAGAAGCAGGGAAGAAGGAAACAGGAGAACGGAGUUACUACCCACUACAUGCAUGCCUAGAAGCGAGGAAGAGAUCGGAUUCAGAGAAGGAACGGCUGGGAUCACCUGCAGGCGUUGCCGCCAGGGCAAGGGACGACGCAGCCGCACGCGUUGUUGCAACCCCUGUCCGCCAUCGAUCUCUCUCUCUCUCUCUCCUCGUCGAACACCUUUAUAAGGUGUUGAAGUCAUCGAGAGGGACGAGGCGCGAGCACCGUGGCCACCACGUGACGCGCUCUCCGGCGUUACAGAGCGCGAGCAAAGGUGACGACGGCCACGCAUCGGUGCAUGCGUGCAACGUCGACGGAACACUUGACCACUCUCUACCCUACCACGGACGCUUAGCUAAGUGAAUGGAUGAUAUGGAACUGAAUUGGCAAUGCUUCAUGAAUGAGAGCGAGAGGUUUGUAUUCGUGCCGUCUAAUGAUUUGGAGCUGCUAAGAUCUCUGAAAGGCAUCGCAGCUACAAAUUGAAAGAGGGUUUAUCACCUUUUUGGGCAUCUUUCCAAGUAGCUCCAUCAUUAAAGCCACAUGAUCAUGCAAUGGUAUCUACUGGUAAUUGAGUCGAUUAUAACGUCUACUGUCGAUCAAUCGGAAGGAUUUGAUUCCUCUUCUCUUCCUCAUCCGACUCCGACUCCGCCUUCCUCCAGCCCGGGUGUUGGCGGCGAUGGCAGCUCCGCGGCCCCGAGGGAGUCGGUCACAUUCGCAAGGCGAAGCAGCUGAUCCGAUUGGUGAACGUGGGAGGCGCUCGAACAGAGGCCGCUACCUUUGUCCGCAUCUUAGAUGACGCCAAUGUCGUCCUCUUGUUCGGAGACAAGUGGGAAAGAUGAUGGAGGAAGCUUCGUACAUGAAGAUGAUAAUGAACAAGUAGAUAGAGGUCCUGAGGAGGCAAAUCUCCGCCUACGCCACCAUCUCAGAGCAACUGAUGGAGAUACACAGGGCCAUCAAAACACUGCAAGACUCGUUCCCAAGUAUUCUCUCCUAAAAAUUUGAUUUUUGGUUUAAGAUAGAGUUGAAUUGGCAUUUUUUGUGAUAAUUCUCUGUUUUAGCAUAGAAGGGUAGGUCCUGAGUAAUGGAAAACUUGAUUUGUUGCUUGAAUAUUCAUUUCAUCGAAUCAAGCUAAUUCUAUUGGGUAUCAUUUAUCUUGAAAUUUAUAUGAAGGCUUU
Musa acuminata AAA Group (dessert banana) is the source of this 1365-nucleotide long non-coding RNA. RefSeq lists it as uncharacterized. Lineage: Eukaryota; Viridiplantae; Streptophyta; Magnoliopsida; Zingiberales; Musaceae. The transcript is spliced from 3 exons. The record is from RefSeq and is a predicted model, not a curated record.